CCUACGGGAGGCAGCAGUGGGGAAUAUUGGACAAUGGGCGCAAGCCUGAUCCAGCCAUGCCGCGUGAGUGAUGAAGGCCUUAGGGUUGUAAAGCUCUUUUGUCCGGGACGAUAAUGACGGUACCGGAAGAAUAAGCCCCGGCUAACUUCGUGCCAGCAGCCGCGGUAAUACGAAGGGGGCUAGCGUUGCUCGGAAUCACUGGGCGUAAAGGGCGCGUAGGCGGCCAUUCAAGUCGGGGGUGAAAGCCUGUGGCUCAACCACAGAAUUGCCUUCGAUACUGUUUGGCUUGAGUAUGGUAGAGGUUGGUGGAACUGCGAGUGUAGAGGUGAAAUUCGUAGAUAUUCGCAAGAACACCGGUGGCGAAGGCGGCCAACUGGACCAUUACUGACGCUGAGGCGCG
RNAcentral lists this ribosomal RNA (400 nucleotides) under uncultured bacterium. RNAcentral describes it as "bacterial SSU rRNA". It matches the Rfam family "Bacterial small subunit ribosomal RNA", at positions 338 to 755 of the family's 1533-position model. The record is from RNAcentral.